Molecule: non-coding RNA, 171 nt
Filed under: Thermocrinis minervae
Lineage: Bacteria; Pseudomonadati; Aquificota; Aquificia; Aquificales; Aquificaceae
Description: Aquificaceae bacterium CR11 6S / SsrS RNA
Rfam family: 6S / SsrS RNA
About the family: E. coli 6S RNA was the first non coding RNA to be sequenced, but its function was unknown until recently.
Source: Rfam by way of RNAcentral
GAUAGCCUGCCCUGUUCGUGGUAGGAAGGUUUAGAUUGGGGUCCACAUGGUGAGGCUAUAGGGAGCCCGGGCUCCAGGAGAGCCUCAGCGUAGGCAUCCUGGGAGGGCACCCACCUGUAUUGGUUUGGGGCCCACCGAAGGCCUUCUUACCACGGCAAGGGUGGGUUUUUC